AUCGCUUCUCGGCCUUUUGGCUAAGAUCAAGUGUAGUAUCUGUUCUUAUCAGUUUAACAUAUGUUAACUAAUUGAAUCCUUAAUACAAGUCUAUAAGGAAGGCAUUCCAUCAUUUGUUGUCCAGAUGAAGAAAUGAAACAAGUUUGUCACUUGCUUGAGGUAACCAUCU
This 169-nucleotide small nuclear RNA is filed under the name Suricata suricatta (meerkat). Its description in RNAcentral is "U2 spliceosomal RNA (ENSSSUG00005023067.1)". It matches the Rfam family "U2 spliceosomal RNA". From Rfam's summary of the family: U2 is a small nuclear RNA (snRNA) component of the spliceosome (involved in pre-mRNA splicing). Lineage: Eukaryota; Metazoa; Chordata; Mammalia; Carnivora; Herpestidae. The record is from Rfam by way of RNAcentral.